UGCAGUCGAGCGGCAGCGGGGCAUCCCUUGCUAUUUUUGCCGGCGAGGGGCGAACGGGUGAGUAAUGCCUGCCUGCGUGCCCGGUAGAGGGGGAUAACUAGUGGAAACAUUUGCUAAUACCGCAUACGCCCUACGGGGGGGAGUGGGGGACCUUCGGCCUCAUGCUAUUGGAUGAGCCCAUGUCGGAUUAGCUAUUUGGUGGGGUAACGGCUCACCAAGGCGACGAUCCCUAGCUGGUCUGACACGAUGAUCAGCCACACUGCCCACUGACACACGGCCCAGACUCCUACGGGAGGCAGAGUGGGGAAUUUUGGACAAUGGGGGAAACCCUCAUGCAGCGAUGCCGCCUGUGUGUUAAGGCCUUCGGGUUGUAAAGCACUUUCGGCGAGGAGGAUUGUAUCUGGCUAAUACCUGGUGGCUAUGACGUUACCCGCAGAAUAAUCACCGGCUAACUACGUGCCAGCAUCCGCGGUAAUACGGAGGGUGCAUUCGUUAAUCUGAAUUACUGGGCGGCAAGCGUGCGCAGGCGAUUGGAAUACAUAGAUGUGAAAAUCCCAGGCUCAACCUGGAAAGUGUAUUGAUAACUGUCCAGAUGGAGAGUGAUAUAGGGGUGUACAAUUCCCACGUCUAACAUAUAUAUUUUAAUAAAGAUGG
RNAcentral lists this ribosomal RNA (654 nucleotides) under Aeromonas sp. RNAcentral's name for it is "bacterial SSU rRNA". It matches the Rfam family "Bacterial small subunit ribosomal RNA", at positions 56 to 700 of the family's 1533-position model. Lineage: Bacteria; Pseudomonadati; Pseudomonadota; Gammaproteobacteria; Aeromonadales; Aeromonadaceae. The record is from RNAcentral.